RNAcentral lists this ribosomal RNA (633 nucleotides) under bacterium TN23A. RNAcentral describes it as "bacterial SSU rRNA". It matches the Rfam family "Bacterial small subunit ribosomal RNA", at positions 900 to 1531 of the family's 1533-position model. RNAcentral also lists the same sequence under 1 other name. The record is from RNAcentral.
CUCAAAGGAAUUGACGGGGGCCCGCACAAGCGGCGGAGCAUGCGGAUUAAUUCGAUGCAACGCGAAGAACCUUACCAAGGCUUGACAUGAACCGGUAAUACCUGGAAACAGGUGCCCCGCUUGCGGUCGGUUUAUAGGUGGUGCAUGGUUGUCGUCAGCUCGUGUCGUGAGAUGUUGGGUUAAGUCCCGCAACGAGCGCAACCCUCGUUCUAUGUUGCCAGCGCGUUAUGGCGGGGACUCAUAGGAGACUGCCGGGGUCAACUCGGAGGAAGGUGGGGACGACGUCAAAUCAUCAUGCCCCUUAUGUCUUGGGCUUCACGCAUGCUACAAUGGCCGGUACAAAGGGUUGCGAUACUGUGAGGUGGAGCUAAUCCCAAAAAGCCGGUCUCAGUUCGGAUUGGGGUCUGCAACUCGACCCCAUGAAGUCGGAGUCGCUAGUAAUCGCAGAUCAGCAACGCUGCGGUGAAUACGUUCCCGGGCCUUGUACACACCGCCCGUCAAGUCACGAAAGUUGGUAACACCCGAAGCCGGUGGCCUAACCCUUGUGGGGGGAGCCGUCGAAGGUGGGACCGGCGAUUGGGACUAAGUCGUAACAAGGUAGCCGUACCGGAAGGUGCGGCUGGAUCACCUCCU